Molecule: ribosomal RNA, 899 nt
Filed under: uncultured archaeon
Lineage: Archaea
Description: bacterial SSU rRNA
Rfam family: Archaeal small subunit ribosomal RNA
Source: RNAcentral
GUGUCAGCCGCCGCGGUAACACCUGCGCCCCGAGUGGGAAUCGCGUUUAUUGGGCCUAAAGCGUCCGUAGCCGGUCUCUUAAAUUUUCUGUGAAAUCGUCCAGCUUAACUGGACGGCGUGCAGAAAACACUGGGAGACUUGGAACCAGGAGGAGUCAGAAGUAUUCUGGGGGGAGCGGUAAAAUGCUAUAAUCCCCAGAGGACUACCUAUGGCGAAGGCAUCUGACCAGAAUGGAUUCGACGGUGAGGGACGAAAGCUAGGGGAGCGAUCCGGAUUAGAUACCCGAGUAGUCCUAGCCCUAAACGAUGUGAGCAAGGUGUUGCAUAUUCGUCAGGAAUAUGCAGUGUCGAAACGAAGGUGUUAAGCUCACCGCCUGGGAAGUAUGGUCGCAAGGCUGAAACUUAAAGGAAUUGGCGGGGGAGCACUACAAGGGGUGCGGCGUGCGGUUUAAUCUAACUCAACGCAGAGAACCUCACCAGCAGCGACGGCAGGAAGAAGGUCACAUUAAAGGUGUUACCUGACGAGCCGAGAGGUGGUGCAUGGCCGUCGUCAGCUCGUGCCGUAAGGUGUCCUGUUAAGUCAGGCAACGAGCGAGACCUGUACUCAUAAUUGCUAGCGGCCCUAUCAGGGGACUGAGCACAUUAUGAGGACUGCCUUGGAAACAAGGAGGAAGGUGCAGGCUACGAUAGGUCUGUAUGCCCCGAAUCUGCUGGGCUACACGCGCGCAACAAUGGUAAGGACAAUGGGAUGCAACUCCGAAAGGAGGAGCUAAUCCUCAAAACCUUAUCUUAGUACAGAUUGAGGGUUGCAACUCACCCUCAUGACGCUGGAAUCCCUAGUAAUCAGACGUCAUCAUCGUCUGGUGAAUGUGUCCCUGCUCCUUGCACACACCGCCCGUC